RNAcentral lists this long non-coding RNA (552 nucleotides) under Nicotiana benthamiana. RNAcentral describes it as "long non-coding RNA (NBEN_LNC004184)". Lineage: Eukaryota; Viridiplantae; Streptophyta; Magnoliopsida; Solanales; Solanaceae. The record is from RNAcentral.
AUUUAUGGUCACUUCAUAUCUUUAAGCCACUAAAUGCGAUGUGUUUUAUUUUUUCUCUCGCAAAAUUAUCGUAUAAGAAGUAAACUUCUCUCUCCACGAUUCCUCUCCAAUUUCUCUCCGUCACAACGCCAUUCUCUCUAUCAACGAUUCUCAACUGAUUCAUCACCAUUGUCAAAAAAACCUGAAUUUUUGACAGCUCGUCUCUUUGAUUGAGAAUCUACUGUUGUCCGUCUCGUAGAUUCGUUUUUCGUUGACAAACAAGUUCCGACUCUUCAAAAUCACUAUCAGUUGGUGCAUGUACUUUUGGAUCUGACUUUGUUGUGAGUCUAUUCGAUUUCUUGCUCGCCAGUGAAGAUUCCGGCUUUGACGCCGGAGAAGUAGCACAUGGAAACGAUUUGGAUAUUGGUGGAUUGGGGACGGAAUUUGUGGCUGAGGAACUUAAAGAGUCUGUUAUCUUUUUUUUCAUUGUAUUUCAAUGUAUCUUGCUGUAUUUAAUUGUGUUCAAUGUUAUUAUAUAAUUUCAAAGCUUCAUUUUAUUUCAAUAUUUUGUCC